This 496-nucleotide ribosomal RNA is filed under the name uncultured bacterium. RNAcentral describes it as "partial 16S ribosomal RNA". It matches the Rfam family "Bacterial small subunit ribosomal RNA", at positions 28 to 506 of the family's 1533-position model. The record is from RNAcentral.
GAUGAACGCUGGCGGCGUGCCUAAUACAUGCAAGUCGAGCGAACAGACGAGGAGCUUGCUCCUCUGACGUUAGCGGCGGACGGGUGAGUAACACGUGGAUAACCUACCUAUAAGACUGGGAUAACUUCGGGAAACCGGAGCUAAUACCGGAUAAUAUAUUGAACCGCAUGGUUCAAUAGUGAAAGACGGUUUUGCUGUCACUUAUAGAUGGAUCCGCGCCGCAUUAGCUAGUUGGUAAGGUAACGGCUUACCAAGGCAACGAUGCGUAGCCGACCUGAGAGGGUGAUCGGCCACACUGGAGCUGAGACACGGUCCAGACUCCUACGGGAGGCAGCAGUAGGGACUCUUCCGCAAUGGGCGAAAGCCUGACGGAGCAACGCCGCGUGAGUGAUGAAGGUCUUCGGAUCGUAAAACUCUGUUAUUAGGGAAGAACAAAUGUGUAAGUAACUAUGCACGUCUUGACGGUACCUAAUCAGAAAGCCACGGCUAACUACGU